UAUCUCUGUAGAGUCUGCAUAUCAAUAAGCGGAGGAAAAGAAACUAACUAGGAUUCCCUCAGUAACGGCGAGUGAAGCGGGAAGAGCUCAAAUUUGAAAUCUUCAAGGUUCUACCUUGACGAAUUGUAGUUUAAAGAAGUGUUUUCUGUUGGAGUUUUGGUAAAAGUUCUUUGGAAUAGGACAUCAUAGAGGGUGAGAAUCCCGUAUUUGACCAUUAUUUCCAGCUUUGUGAUACACUUUCAAAGAGUCGGAUUGUUUGGGAAUGCAGUCCAAAAUGGGUGGUAAAUUUCAUCUAAAGCUAAAUAUUGGCGAGAGACCGAUAGCGAACAAGUACCGUGAGGGAAAGAUGAAAAGAACUUUGAAAAGAGAGUUAAACAGUACGUGAAAUUGUCAAAAGGGAAGCGUUUGACACCAGUGUUGUUUUCUCGAAAAUCAAUUAAAAAUGGCCGGAUUUUGUGUUGUAUUGACUUUAUCAGCUUUCUGCACUUUUUUCUUGUCUUUUUUAAUGCACUUUUCGUUUAACAAGUCAACAUCAAUUUCUUUUGUCGUAAAAGAGUCAUUGGAAGGUGGCUUUCACUUCGGUGAAAGUGUUUAUAGCCUUUGACUUCUGCAAUCGGAGAGAUUGAGGUCUGCAGCGUAGAUCCUUCGGGGUUAGAUACAUUUGUGCUAAGUUAUAGUUUUUCAUAGACAACAUGUUGACUAUGAUCAGUCAUGUAGCUUACUCGCUUAUGCUAUUUUACCUACGCUUAGGAUGUUGAUGUGAUACUGCGAGCA
This 774-nucleotide ribosomal RNA is filed under the name uncultured Neocallimastigales. RNAcentral's name for it is "partial large subunit ribosomal RNA". It matches the Rfam family "Eukaryotic large subunit ribosomal RNA", at positions 24 to 646 of the family's 3401-position model. Lineage: Eukaryota; Fungi; Neocallimastigomycota; Neocallimastigomycetes; Neocallimastigales. The record is from RNAcentral.